ACGGGGGGAGCAAGCGUUGUUCGGAUUUACUGGGCGUAAAGGGCGGGUAGGCGGCCACUGCAAGUCGGUUGUGAAAUCUCCGGGCUUAACUCGGAAAGGUCAAUCGAUACUGCAGGGCUAGAGUGCAGAAGGGGCAACUGGAAUUCUCGGUGUAGCGGUGAAAUGCGUAGAUAUCGGGAGGAACACCUGUGGCGAAAGCGGCUCACUGGACCACAACUGACGCUGAUGCGCGAAAGCUAGGGGAGCAAACAGGA
RNAcentral lists this ribosomal RNA (254 nucleotides) under uncultured prokaryote. Its description in RNAcentral is "partial 16S ribosomal RNA". It matches the Rfam family "Bacterial small subunit ribosomal RNA", at positions 525 to 777 of the family's 1533-position model. The record is from RNAcentral.